RNAcentral lists this ribosomal RNA (268 nucleotides) under uncultured bacterium. RNAcentral describes it as "partial 16S ribosomal RNA". It matches the Rfam family "Bacterial small subunit ribosomal RNA", at positions 334 to 618 of the family's 1533-position model. The record is from RNAcentral.
GAUACCUACGGGACGCAGCAGUGGGGAAUAUUGCACAAUGGGGGAAACCCUGAUGCAGCAACGCCGCGUGAGUGAAGAAGUAUUUCGGUAUGUAAAGCUCUAUCAGCAGGGAAGAAGAAAGACGGUACCUGACUAAGAAGCCCCGGCUAACUACGUGCCAGCAGCCGCGGUAAUACGUAGGGGGCAAGCGUUAUCCGGAUUUACUGGGUGUAAAGGGAGCGUAGACGGUCCUGCAAGCCAGAUGUGAAAGCCCGGGGCUCAACCCCGG